CCUGUGCGGGUGCACCAGCCGGGCGCGAGCCCGCGCUCCGUUCCCCGCGGGUACCGCGGCACCCGCAGCCUCCGGGCGCGUGUCCUUCCCCCUCGGGGAGCGGCCGGGACCGCGCUGGGAAACCCCUGAGGCGGCCGAGGAACCUCCAGCUCCGUCCCCAGCACCUGAGGAGACAGGAGCUAACUCCCAGCUGGGUUUUUACCCUCCCGACUAGGGCGUGAAACGGGAAGGAAAAUGGAGUCAUGCGUUUCACCUGGCCUCUGCGGGAGAAAUACAAAGCAGCCCUCAGCAAUCCAGAGGAGACUAGGAGAUUUCGAUGAUCCGAGACCACGCUUCCAGAGUGAUCCAGUAGCCCCAAAAAGCUUUUCUCUCUUUUGACUUCAGUGAUUUGAAGUGGAAUGGCACACAGAAAUAUAGAAUCAAGCCAUUUUAUUCUUGCUCAUUACAGUUUUGCUGUUUGGUUCUUUUUUGUACGUGUGGUAAAUUACUCUGUACCUGCAGUUUGUGAGAUUCAGAUAGGACAGCUACUCCUGUUUUAGCAGGUCCCUCAUUUAUGGGGGAAUACUUGCAUAUAUCCCUACACAUUCCUGUUGCUUUUGUUCUGCUCUCUGCUACUCAAAACUUCUACAUGUAAAAUGGAAAAAAAGAGUAUAACAUAACUGCUAUUGCUUAGAAACACUAUUCAAAUGGCUGAAAAUAGCAGUAAAAUAAUCAACCUUCACUUCAGUUUGUUUGUUCUUUCCCAUGUAAUACUGUAUAGAACUGUAUGUGAUGGAAUACAUAUGAACCUACCAUGUACCUUUCCCCUGGGAAUGAAGAGCCUCUGUAGUUGCAGUCUUUCCAGUGUUUUCCUUCCUCUUUCAUGAAUUAAAUACCUAAUGAGUCAAAACAGAGCUGAAAUGGGAUGCAGGCAGUUGAGUACAGGAAGAAGAGUUU
Molecule: long non-coding RNA, 936 nt
Organism: Corapipo altera (White-ruffed manakin)
Lineage: Eukaryota; Metazoa; Chordata; Aves; Passeriformes; Pipridae
Exons: 3
Source: RefSeq, a predicted model, not a curated record